This 207-nucleotide ribosomal RNA is filed under the name uncultured bacterium. RNAcentral's name for it is "partial 16S ribosomal RNA". It matches the Rfam family "Bacterial small subunit ribosomal RNA", at positions 568 to 774 of the family's 1533-position model. The record is from RNAcentral.
CGUGUAGGCGGUUAGGCAAGUCAGGUGUGAAAUCCCUUGGCCCAACCAAGGAAGUGCGCUUGAAACUGCUUAACUAGAGUACAGAAGGGGAAAGUGGAAUUCCCAGUGUAGAGGUGAAAUUCAUAGAUAUUGGGAGGAACACCAGUAGCGAAGGCGGCUUUCUGGCCUGAUACUGACGCUGAGACGCGAAAGCGUGGGGAGCAAACA